Non-coding RNA from Lolium perenne, 457 nucleotides. Lineage: Eukaryota; Viridiplantae; Streptophyta; Magnoliopsida; Poales; Poaceae. The record is from RefSeq and is a predicted model, not a curated record.
GUUGCCUCAGAGACGCCAGUUGAAGGAGAAGAAACUUCGCCUCCUCGACAGAACGUCGACACUGCCACUCCUCCAAGCCCCCGAGCCCCUUUGUCGAAAAGGGCGAGGACGGAGAUCAUCCCGGAGCCUACUCUCCAAUUGAGUAGCUCCUCUAACCCUCUCUUGGAGGAUCCUUUGAUAAAGGAUCUUCUUCGCAUCGGUACCCAAUUUGUCGGGUACCGUGAAUAUGCUAGUAGAACUGAAGAAAAACUGGCGGAAGCCAAUGAACGUGCCAACACACUUGCUCAACAAUUAGAGCAAAGUGAAAAGGCUCGCAAAGAGGCUGAGUCAGAUGCUGUUGGUGCGCGAGCAGAGGCUGAUAAGGCCAAGGCUGAUGCUGCUGGUGUCGAAGAUCUCCGGAAGAGACUUCACGAUGCCGAAACUUCGCUGAGUGAACAUAUAACUGCUCAAUCUGCCC